Molecule: non-coding RNA, 215 nt
Organism: Triticum aestivum (bread wheat)
Lineage: Eukaryota; Viridiplantae; Streptophyta; Magnoliopsida; Poales; Poaceae
Source: Rfam
AUACCUUUCUCGGCCUUUUGGCUAAGAUCAAGUGUAGUAUCUGUUCUUAUCAGUUUAAUAUCUGAUAUGUGGGUCAUGUGCCCACAAUGAUAUUAAAUUUAUUUUUUGUGGAGGAGGUUCCACCACACUAGCUUGCUAGUGGGGACUAGCUUGCUAGUGGGGCCUUCAUGUGUCGCCUGGGCGUUGCACUGCUGCCCAGGCCAAGUGCACCCCAA